RNAcentral lists this transfer RNA (67 nucleotides) under Fukomys damarensis (Damara mole-rat). RNAcentral describes it as "tRNA-Pro". Lineage: Eukaryota; Metazoa; Chordata; Mammalia; Rodentia; Bathyergidae. The record is from RNAcentral.
CAAGGAAUAGUUUAACAAGAAUUUCAGUUUUGGGUUCUGAUGGUGGAGGAGUAGCCUUCUUCCUUGA